UCUUUCUCUCUCUCUCUCUCUCGCUCUUCUAGCCCUCUUUCUCUCUCCCUCCCCCCCUCUCUCUCUCUCUCUCUCUCUCUCUGUGGUGAUGAUGUAUUUAAUUUUUCGGUCAUCUUCUCCAUUUGAAUCUGAUCUAUUAUGAACAUGGAUUAUUUUUACCGGUCGUGGAACGUAGGAUGCUAAUACGCAAUUCAAUAAUGUGUUUGGCACGAAUGGUACGAAAGAGAUUAUUCGCACCUUUCGAUCCAAGAUCUUUCACGCCAAGUGUAGAUACGAAUUGUACGAAAGGGCCUAUUUACACCAUUCGUUCGAAGAUAUGUCUCGCCAAGUAUUGGCACGAACGGAACGAAAUGGCCUAAUCGCACCAUUCGUGCUAAGUGUUCUCGCGACAGAUCUUUGCACAAAUAGAACGAAAAAGCCUAUUCACAUCAUCCAAAAUCUGUUGUGCCAACACUUGGUAUGAAGAGUCUAUUCACACCAUUCGUUCCAAAUUCUGUUGCGCCAACACUUGGAACGAAUGGUUCAAAAGAAAUCAUUCGUACCACUCGUUUCAAGAUUUAUGGCGCCAACACUUAGCAUGAAUGGUAUGAAAGAACUCAUUCGUACCAUUCGUCUCUAAAAAAAAUGCAAGUUGUUCUAGCAGAUAAAACUAUAGUCUAGCAGUUUGUUUCGAUAAAUUCAAGUACAAUUCAUGAACAAAAUUCGAAUAAAUAAUUUUUUCAUUUUCUUCAUUUUCCAACAAAUCAAAUUCCAAAUCAAAUGAGCAAAGUAAUACAAAAUCUCACAAAUCUAACUAAAUGUUGGAACUAAAUCUUCAUUUUAUUCAUUGGAAAAGAGGAGGGCGUCGUCCGACGGCUAUAGUGAAUUCAUAUUCUUGAGAUGACUGGAGAUUAUUUUCUUUCUCACUCCAAUAAGUCUCCACUUGUGCACUUGGCACAAAUGCCUUGAAUGAACUUUUUCUACCAUCUGUGCCAGGUAUAUGUACAAACGAUCUUGAAACGGUUAGAACAUGGUGUUAGUGGGCCUAUUUGCAACAUUCGUUCCAACACUUGACGCGACAGAUCUUGAAACGGACGGAAUGGAUGGUGCUAAUUAAUAAGCCCAUUAGCACAUCUAUUCCUACACUUGGCACAGAAGGUCUUGGAAUGAAAGAUCUCGUCGAUUUGAAAUUAUAUUUGACGACGAUGGCAUGGUGGUCAGUGGUGAAGCCUAUCAAAUUUUGGAGAAGAUCAUGGCGACAACGACGUUCGGUUGAAUCGGAGAAGAGGAUGGUGACGACGACGAAGAAAAUCAGAGAAGACGAUGACGAUGACAACAAUGAUAAUGGGAAUCUGAAAAGUGGACCAAGAAAUAGGGAGUCGUCGUCGUUGUCGGAGAGAGAGAGAGAGAGAGAG
Salvia miltiorrhiza (redroot sage) is the source of this 1394-nucleotide long non-coding RNA. RefSeq lists it as uncharacterized. The record is from RefSeq and is a predicted model, not a curated record. Lineage: Eukaryota; Viridiplantae; Streptophyta; Magnoliopsida; Lamiales; Lamiaceae. The transcript is spliced from 3 exons.